This 393-nucleotide ribosomal RNA is filed under the name uncultured bacterium. Its description in RNAcentral is "partial 16S ribosomal RNA". It matches the Rfam family "Bacterial small subunit ribosomal RNA", at positions 523 to 918 of the family's 1533-position model. The record is from RNAcentral.
AUACGGAGGAUCCGAGCGUUAUCCGGAUUUAUUGGGUUUAAAGGGUGCGUAGGUGGUUUGAUAAGUCAGCGGUGAAAGUUUGCAGCUUAACUGUAAAAAUGCCGUUGAAACUGUCGGACUUGAGUGUAAAUGAGGUAGGCGGAAUGCGUGGUGUAGCGGGGAAAUGCAUAGAUAUCACGCAGAACUCCGAUUGCGAAGGCAGCUUACUAAGCUACAACUGACACUGAAGCACGAAAGCGUGGGGAUCAAACAGGAUUAGAUACCCUGGUAGUCCACGCAGUAAACGAUGAUUACUAGCUGUUUGCGAUACACAGUAAGCGGCACAGCGAAAGCGUUAAGUAAUCCACCUGGGGAGCACGCCGGCAACGGUGAAACUCAAAUGAAUUGGCGGGG